Molecule: long non-coding RNA, 212 nt
Filed under: Amborella trichopoda
Lineage: Eukaryota; Viridiplantae; Streptophyta; Magnoliopsida; Amborellales; Amborellaceae
Description: long non-coding RNA (ATRI_LNC005356)
Source: RNAcentral
UGACAAGGAAGUUUUAAGCGAUUAGACAAUCCAAAGAAAGUGGAUAUAUUAAUAUUUUUAUACUAUUAGUCAUAUUUUCCUAGUAUUUUUAGACUCUCAUCAUAUUGGUUCGAUUAGAGGUUUUGACUAGACUAGAUCCUCAUUGAUUCAGUGGACCGUCGAAUCUUGAUAAUACUCGUUUCAUGUGGAUGAUGUUACAUCCCAUAUUGGUG